GCAUUCUCACCCUCUGAAAAGCUGAAAGGCUUUAACAUCUGGAGACGCGCCUGCAGCUGUGCAGAUUAAUGUAGUUUCUUUUAGGAAAUGAAGGGGCAGUUUUCCUGUUGUGAGCCUAAAUACCGAGUCUACUCUGCUUUUUCAAUCAGGUGAUGAAGCUUAUGGAAAAAAAGACCAAAGGCCUCGAGGCUCCCUGUUUUCCUUCGGUCGCCGUGGGUAUGCUGGACACCUCUCACAUGACUAACCCUGUGGCUUUUAUGUUCAAUGUGCUGUGUGCCUGCAGUAUCCUGUCCAAGACCAAGCUACCUUUCCUCAUGGG
Long non-coding RNA from Pipra filicauda (Wire-tailed manakin), 319 nucleotides. RefSeq lists it as uncharacterized. Lineage: Eukaryota; Metazoa; Chordata; Aves; Passeriformes; Pipridae. The transcript is spliced from 3 exons. The record is from RefSeq and is a predicted model, not a curated record.